GGACUCGUAGCUUAGCCUGGUAGAGCGCCUGACUGAUAAUCAGGAGGUCGGGAGUUCGAAUCUCCCCGGGUCCA
RNAcentral lists this transfer RNA (74 nucleotides) under Candidatus Micrarchaeota archaeon CG08_land_8_20_14_0_20_59_11. Its description in RNAcentral is "tRNA-Ile". It matches the Rfam family "tRNA". From Rfam's summary of the family: Transfer RNA (tRNA) molecules are approximately 80 nucleotides in length. Their secondary structure includes four short double-helical elements and three loops (D, anti-codon, and T loops). Further hydrogen bonds mediate the characteristic L-shaped molecular structure. tRNAs have two regions of fundamental functional importance: the anti-codon, which is responsible for specific mRNA codon recognition, and the 3' end, to which the tRNAs corresponding amino acid is attached (by aminoacyl-tRNA synthetases). tRNAs cope with the degeneracy of the genetic code in two manners: having more than one tRNA (with a specific anti-codon) for a particular amino acid; and 'wobble' base-pairing, i.e. permitting non-standard base-pairing at the 3rd anti-codon position. Lineage: Archaea; Nanobdellati; Microcaldota. RNAcentral also lists the same sequence under 2 other names. The record is from RNAcentral.